This 858-nucleotide long non-coding RNA is filed under the name Sorghum bicolor (sorghum). RNAcentral describes it as "long non-coding RNA (SBIC_LNC014871)". The record is from RNAcentral. Lineage: Eukaryota; Viridiplantae; Streptophyta; Magnoliopsida; Poales; Poaceae.
UACGGCGUAUAUGCUUGAGAGGAGCUUCUUGACUUCUAUUAACUUGUAGCACUGUACCUCACAUGUUGAGUAACAUCCUCAGCUUGUCAUCUGUUAAAAAAAGGAACAGUUAGGCAUGGCAGACAUGAGGAAUACCAGGCUAUCAUUGGAAAAAUAUCUGUUUCAUUGUGCCUUCCAUCUUUUGUUAAAUAAUGCGGCAAACCUUCCCAGGUGCAUGUCACAGACUUGUAGUUCAGAUUAUGCACUGGACACAUGCCAUAAGGAGGUUAAAAAUCUAAUUUUCGCAUGACCAAUGCUUUCUCUCUAAGUGUUGGUAGGUCUAAACUUGGUUUAGUUGAGUUUGUUCUGUGUGAGUUGUUUCUCCUUUGCUAGUUGAUGUUUCGCAUGCUAAACUGUAAAACUGGUAACCCCAGUGUUAGAUCUUGGGCUUUCAACCGUGUGAAUGCCUUUGAUCGAAAAACAUGCCAUGGGGCUGAUAGUCAUGGCACGAUUACCAUACCAACACGUAAGCACGGAUGACAAGGGCCAGUGCGAGUAAUGAUGGGAGAGCGCAGAAGCACGUACAAGACAGUGGCGUGUACAUGCAAUGUGGAAGUUUUGGGACACUGUUUUUUUUGCUUAUGCAUUGGGCUAUAGUGAGUUGGACAGAAUAUGUCAAAAUAAUGUAGUGACUAAAGGUUUCGAUAAUGGGUAGUAGAGUGGGUGGAGCCAGGGGUGGUGGUGGGGGGAGGGUUGUUUGGGAGUGGCUUCAGAGCCCAGCCUCAAGUUGUAAAGAACCGAGAAUAAUGCAUUAGUCAUUUGUAUAAUCAAUUUACUUUCUACUUGGCGGCACCCAUAUAUGGUUACUAUCACGGCAGU